AACGAACGCUGGCGGCAUGCCUAACACAUGCAAGUCGAACGAGACCUUCGGGUCUAGUGGCGCACGGGUGCGUAACGCGUGGGAACCUGCCCUUAGGUUCGGAAUAACUCCCCGAAAGGGGUGCUAAUACCGGAUAAUGUCUUCGGACCAAAGAUUUAUCGCCUUUGGAUGGGCCCGCGUGGGAUUAGCUAGUUGGUAGGGUAAAAGCCUACCAAGGGGACGAUCCAUAGCUGGUCUGAGAGGAGGAUCAGCCACACUGGGACUGAGACACGGCCCAGACUCCUACGGGAGGCAGCAGUGGGGAAUGUUGGACAAUGGGCGAAAGCCUGAUCCAGCAAUGCCGCGUGAGUGAUGAAGGCCUUAGGGUUGUAAAGCUCUUUUACCCGGGAUGAUAAUGACAGUACCGGGAGAAUAAGCCCCGGCUAACUCCGUG
Molecule: ribosomal RNA, 433 nt
Filed under: uncultured bacterium
Lineage: Bacteria
Description: partial 16S ribosomal RNA
Rfam family: Bacterial small subunit ribosomal RNA
Source: RNAcentral